RNAcentral lists this ribosomal RNA (200 nucleotides) under uncultured bacterium. Its description in RNAcentral is "partial 16S ribosomal RNA". It matches the Rfam family "Bacterial small subunit ribosomal RNA", at positions 524 to 723 of the family's 1533-position model. The record is from RNAcentral.
UACGGAGGGUGCGAGCGUUGUCCGGAUUUAUUGGGUUUAAAGGGUGCGUAGGCGGCCUUUUAAGUCCGGGGUGAAAGCCCGUUGCUCAACAACGGAACUGCCCUGGAUACUGAGAGGCUUGAGUACAGACGAGGUUGGCGGAAUGGACCGAGUAGCGGUGAAAUGCAUAGAUACGGUCCAGAACCCCGAUUGCGAAGGCA